Molecule: non-coding RNA, 315 nt
Organism: Poecilia reticulata (guppy)
Lineage: Eukaryota; Metazoa; Chordata; Actinopteri; Cyprinodontiformes; Poeciliidae
Source: RefSeq, a predicted model, not a curated record
AGAAGAAGCAGAAAUUUAAAUCAGAGGAAGUCGAUUUGUAAAAGAAAUUAUGCUCGGAGUUGGAAGAGUCCGAUGGCAGGAAUGCCCUGCAUUCAGCUCUCCCCCACUCAUCUCAUAAACUCCCUGAACCCCGCUGAUCAAAAGUCUCCUAACAUCAUUACAUGAUGCCACCUCCGUGCUUCACAGUGGGGUUGUUGUGUUCAGGGUGGAUGCACAGGGCUAGCUCUCUGCCAAACGCAAUGUUUUAACAUGAAAGCCACAAAGUUCAGUUUUGCUAAAUCCCAAUAAAAAUAAAUCUGCUUUGUUGUAAUGUCA